RNAcentral lists this ribosomal RNA (241 nucleotides) under Providencia rettgeri. RNAcentral's name for it is "partial 16S ribosomal RNA". It matches the Rfam family "Bacterial small subunit ribosomal RNA", at positions 1293 to 1533 of the family's 1533-position model. The record is from RNAcentral. Lineage: Bacteria; Pseudomonadati; Pseudomonadota; Gammaproteobacteria; Enterobacterales; Morganellaceae.
CCGGAUUGGAGUCUGCAACUCGACUCCAUGAAGUCGGAAUCGCUAGUAAUCGUAGAUCAGAAUGCUACGGUGAAUACGUUCCCGGGCCUUGUACACACCGCCCGUCACACCAUGGGAGUGGGUUGCAAAAGAAGUAGGUAGCUUAACCUUCGGGAGGGCGCUUACCACUUUGUGAUUCAUGACUGGGGUGAAGUCGUAACAAGGUAACCGUAGGGGAACCUGCGGUUGGAUCACCUCCUUA